GUGGGAGCAUGAAAUGUAGUACAUAUAUAGAUAGUUUUUUAUAGACCAUAGAACAAAUAAGCAAACAAAUUCAAAGGAAAUGUACAUGUAAGAUGAAUAAUAAAAAAAGAAGAGCCAUGGCCAGGGGCCCAAACUUGACAGCAUUUGGUGUUGAACAGGUUAAAUGUCUGCAUUGACAAUAAAUAUAGUCUUUGUUAGAGGUGAGCCAGGUCACCUUUCCCUUAAUCAGCCAUAUUAAAGGUAACCGCAUGUUUCUGGGCUGGGUCGAAAAAUAAAUGAACAUGACUUUGAAAAAUGCUAAAAUUUUAAGAUAAAAGAAAUACACCAAAUUGGGGAGACAUCUAUUAAAAUGUUUGAAUAUGAAGUUGACAAGAACUAAGCUUUUCAGAUAAUAUACAGACUAUUACAGUCAGCCUAAAGACUCUUUGCCUACUGAAAUGUUUGCU
RNAcentral lists this long non-coding RNA (446 nucleotides) under Mytilus galloprovincialis (Mediterranean mussel). Lineage: Eukaryota; Metazoa; Mollusca; Bivalvia; Mytilida; Mytilidae. The record is from RNAcentral.